ACCAGUGUAGUAUAAUGGUUUGAAUGCUGGACUACAACUCUGGAGACCAGGGUUUGAAUCCCCACUUAGCCA
Phrynosoma platyrhinos (Desert horned lizard) is the source of this 72-nucleotide non-coding RNA. The record is from the annotation of a GenBank genome assembly. Lineage: Eukaryota; Metazoa; Chordata; Lepidosauria; Squamata; Phrynosomatidae.